AUGCAAGUCGACGGUACAGAGAAAGCUGCUUUCUUGCUGACGAGUGCGACGGGUGAGUAACGCGUGGGAAUCUACCCCAGUAGUUGGGGAUAGCCCGGAGAAAUCCGGAUUAAUACCGAAUAAUGUCUACGGACGAAAAGGUGCCUCUUCUUGAAAGCACUUGCUAUUGGAUGAGCCCGCGUUAGAUUAGUUUGUUGGUGGGGUAAUGGCCUACCAAGACUGCGAUCUAUAGCUGGUUUGAGAGGAUGAUCAGCCACAUUGGGACUGAGACACGGCCCAGACUCCUACGGGAGGCAGCAGUGGGGAAUAUUGGACAAUGGGCGCAAGCCUGAUCCAGCAAUACCGCGUGUGUGAAGAAGGCCUUAGGGUUGUAAAGCACUUUUAUGUAGGAAGAAGGAUUGAGAGUUAAUAGCUUUUGAUUUUGACGGUACUACAAGAAUAAGCACCGGCUAACUCCGUGCCAGCAGCCGCGGUAAUACGGAGGGUGCGAGCGUUAAUCGGAAUUACUGGGCGUAAAGGGUACGUAGGCGGCUUAAUAAGUCAGAUGUGAAAUCCCCGGGCUUAACCUGGGAACUGCAUUUGAAACUGUUUAGCUAGAGUGAGUGAGAGGUUAGUGGAAUUCAAGGCGUAGCGGUGAAAUGCGUAGAGGUCUUGAGGAACAUCAGUGGCGAAGGCGACUAACUGGCACUACACUGACGCUGAGGUACGAAAGCGUGGGGAGCGAACAGGAUUAGAUACCCUGGUAGUCCACGCCCUAAACGAUGAGGACUGGCUGUCGGCGCUAUAGACGCGUCGGUAGCGAAGCUAACGCGUUAAGUUCUCCGCCUGGGGAGUACGACCGCAAGGUUGAAACUCAAAGGAAUUGACGGG
Molecule: ribosomal RNA, 870 nt
Filed under: uncultured bacterium
Lineage: Bacteria
Description: bacterial SSU rRNA
Rfam family: Bacterial small subunit ribosomal RNA
Source: RNAcentral